GACGGAGGAUGCAAGCGUUAUCCGGAAUGAUUGGGCGUAAAGCGUCCGCAGGUGGCAGUUCAAGUCUGCUGUCAAAGACCGGGGCUUAACUUCGGAAAGGCAGUGGAAACUGAACAGCUAGAGUAUGGUAGGGGCAGAGGGAAUUCCUGGUGUAGCGGUGAAAUGCGUAGAGAUCAGGAAGAACAUCGGUGGCGAAGGCGCUCUGCUGGACCAUAACUGACACUCAGGGACGAAAAGCUAGGGGAGCGAACAGG
Molecule: ribosomal RNA, 254 nt
Filed under: uncultured bacterium
Lineage: Bacteria
Description: partial 16S ribosomal RNA
Rfam family: Bacterial small subunit ribosomal RNA
Source: RNAcentral